UACGGGGGGAGCAAGCGUUGUUCGGAUUUACUGGGCGUAAAGGGCGCGUAGGCGGCGCAACAAGUCACUUGUGAAAUCUCCGGGCUUAACUCGGAGCGGCCAAGUGAUACUGUCGUGCUAGAGUGCGGAAGGGGCUACUGGAAUUCUCGGUGUAGCGGUGAAAUGCGUAGAUAUCGAGAGGAACACCGGCGGCGAAGGCGGGUAGCUGGGCCGACACUGACGCUGAGGCGCGAAAGCCAGGGGAGCGAACGGG
RNAcentral lists this ribosomal RNA (253 nucleotides) under uncultured bacterium. RNAcentral's name for it is "partial 16S ribosomal RNA". It matches the Rfam family "Bacterial small subunit ribosomal RNA", at positions 524 to 776 of the family's 1533-position model. The record is from RNAcentral.